This 894-nucleotide ribosomal RNA is filed under the name Triticum aestivum (bread wheat). RNAcentral describes it as "partial small subunit ribosomal RNA". The record is from RNAcentral. Lineage: Eukaryota; Viridiplantae; Streptophyta; Magnoliopsida; Poales; Poaceae.
AUGAGCAAAGGGCUACUUCAGCCCAUACAAGAAAGGCUUAGCAAAAGGCUCGUGGACUGGAGCGAAAGAUAUGUGUCCAGUGCAAGCAAGGAGGUCCUAAUUAAGGCGGUGGCUAAGGCAAUCCCAACUUACGUAAUCAGUGUCUUCAAGCUGCCCAUGUUAGUAUGUGAUGAUCUAUCGUGUUUGAUUCGGUAAUACUGGUGGGGUGUUGAAGAUGACAAAAGGAAAAUGGCUUGGCUCGCUUGGGAUAAGAUGAUUCUGCCUAAAUCAAUGGGCGGCCUGGGAUUUAGAGAUAUGAGAGCUUUUAACCAAGCGAUGCUUGCCAAACAAGCUUGGAGAUUGAUAGAUCACCCUGAAAGUCUAGUUGCAAGACUACUAAAAGCUAAGUAUUUCCCUGCAGGAGAUUUAGUGGAUACGGUUUUUAUCGGAAAUGCUUCAGCAGUUUGGCGAGGAAUUGAGCAUGGACUCCAACUAGUGAAGAGAGGCAUGAUAUGGCGAGUAGGAAAUGGUAGUAAAAUUCGGAUAUGGAGAGAUCCCUGGAUCCCUAGGGGUCCAUCUCUACGACCUAUUUCGCCAAAAGGAAGAUGUCGACUCAAAAAAGUCUCUGAUUUACUUGAUGUGCACGGACGAUGGAACAUGGAGAUACUGAACAAAUACUUCUGGCCAGUGGAUGUUCAGACCAUUUGCUCCAUCAGAACGUCUCUCAAUCAGGAGGAAGAUUUUAUAGUAUGGCAUCCGGGAAAAUUUGGCACCUUUUCUGUAAAAAGUGCAUAUCAUCUUGCGAUGUGUGUGUUGGAAGUAAACCCAACGUCCGGUCCGAUUACAAGUAUGUAUACGGGUCCAACUAGUAUAGGAAUCCAUUACCUAGUAGGAUUAGUACUGGUCCUAGGCUAG